Molecule: ribosomal RNA, 429 nt
Filed under: Chloroflexota bacterium
Lineage: Bacteria; Bacillati; Chloroflexota
Description: Chloroflexi bacterium partial 16S ribosomal RNA
Rfam family: Bacterial small subunit ribosomal RNA
Source: RNAcentral
UGGGGAAUAUUGCACAAUUGGCGCAAGCCUGAUGCAGCCAUGCCGCGUGUAUGAAGAAGGCCUUCGGGUUGUAAAGUACUUUCAGCGGGGAGGAAGGGAGUAAAGUUAAUACCUUUGCUCAUUGACGUUACCCGCAGAAGAAGCACCGUCUAACUCCGUGCCAGCAGCCUCGGUAAUACGGAGGGUGCAAGCGUUAAUCGGGAUUACUGGGCGUAAAGCGCACGCAGGCGGUUUGUUAAGUCAGAUGUGAAAUCCCCGGGCUCAACCUGGGAAAUGCAUCUGAUACUGGAAAGCUUGAGUCUCGUAGAGGGGGGUAGAAUUCCAGGUGUAGCGGUGAAUUGCGUAGAGAUCUGGAGGAAUAACGGUGGCGAAGGCGGCCCCCUGGACGAAGACUGACGCUCAGGUGCGAAAGCAUGGGAAGCAAACAGG